RNAcentral lists this ribosomal RNA (472 nucleotides) under Streptococcus mutans. RNAcentral describes it as "bacterial SSU rRNA". It matches the Rfam family "Bacterial small subunit ribosomal RNA", at positions 28 to 474 of the family's 1533-position model. Lineage: Bacteria; Bacillati; Bacillota; Bacilli; Lactobacillales; Streptococcaceae. The record is from RNAcentral.
GACGAACGCUGGCGGCGUGCCUAAUACAUGCAAGUGGGACGCAAGAGAACACACUGUGCUUGCACACCGUGUUUUCUUGAGUCGCGAACGGGUGAGUAACGCGUAGGUAACCUUCCUAUUAGCGGGGGAUAACUAUUGGAAACAAUAGCUAAUACCGCAUAAUAUUAAUUAUUGCAUGAUAAUUGAUUGAAAGAUGCAAGCGCAUCACUAGUAGAUGGACCUGCGUUGUAAUAGCUAGUUGGUAAGGUAAGAGCUUACCAAGGCGACGAUACAUAGCCGACCUGAGAGGGUGAUCGGCCACACUGGGACUGAGACACGGCCCAGACUCCUACGGGAGGCAGCAGUAGGGAAUCUUCGGCAAUGGACGAAAGUCUGACCGAGCAACGCCGCGUGAGUGAAGAAGGUUUUCGGAUCGUAAAGCUCUGUUGUAAGUCAAGAACGUGUGUGAGAGUGGAAAGUUCACACAGAGACG